CGGCGGUACGCGGUAGGCUCAUUCCCGAUGAUGAAAUUUAACAUGUUUUGUCGACAUGCAUAAUGUUUUGUUGUGAAAAUUCACCAAAAUGGCCGCUCUCCGGGAUCGCUGAUUGCUGCAUAUCCUACUUCCGCAACUUGUGAAUCGUUUCCUUCAGAAAUCUAAAUUUGGUCGAGCAUUAUAGCCUGAUUUAACAAUCUUGUAUUUCGUGAAUCUGACCAUUCUCAUUCUGGAACAAGACUCGAGCUAGACGAAAAGUCCCGAAUUUAAAGAAGCAGCAAAAUGGUCCACAGUGUCAACAACACUAAGAGCUGGCCAUCGUCACGGCAACCAGACGGCUGGCAGCAGUUAGCCAAUCAGGUGCUUCGUGAUCAGGAGUGCCUCUACAAUGCCAGCCGAGGGGUGCAGUGCCGCCCUGUUGAGAACGUCCCUGCGAGGGACAUCGGAGUUGCCCUGCGGCACCUCGCUGACAAUUGGCUGUAUGUGAGACAGGUUGGGUACCAGAUGAGGACAAUUGCUGACGAGGUGUAUGCCAGACAUCAGAGGAGACACAACAGGCCGACGUAGCGUUACUGUCCAUUCCUUACUUCCAAGGCUGUUAAACAGCACAAUGAAUAAUGGCGCCACAAGACCAAUCGGAAUCGGGGGAUGGGGGGAUGUGACACUCCCACCCCCCCCCCCCCCCCUCCCUCUAGCGACACCACUGACAAUGGACACUACACAGUGCCGAGUUUUUGAGAAACCAGACGCAUUGCAGAGUUAUUUAAGAGACCAUCCCCAUGACACCCAGCUGAGCAAGAGUUUAUGAAAAACUUAUCAAUGAGCAUUUGAGAAAUGAACUGAUUUCGAGUAAAAGCCACUCGGCAAAAUAUUGUCAUGGUGCCUGUCUGCCAUAUCCACCCAUUCAGUUUAUGUACUGUUACAUCCCGAAAUACAAGCAGAAACUGUCGCUGCAUGUUUGUGAAAUGAUGGCAGUCAUGGCACCAUUAACAAAAUGAUAGCUCACUCCGAGCAAUAAUAGCUCACAGAGCCGCGGCAGUCUUAAAUCCUCAGGCGAAACUGAAUUUGUAUGCCUCUGAUAUGAUUCAAAGGAUUAAUAAUUUGUCUGAUUUCAGUUGACCAACUACAAGUUGCAAAGAUUCAAUCUGCUGCCACUUACUAUGCACAUGAUUUAUCUUCAGUUUUCUGUGCACAUACAGUGAAACUGUUUGUGUAUGUACAUACAUGUAAUUACAUAAUGAGGCUCCCCAACAAAAAUGUGUUUUGUUGGAUAGUAUUCAAUGUUUGGUCAUUUCAUGUGAAAUCUGCAAUUUUUUUUCCCAGAAAUAUCAAUUUUGAUAAAAAAAUUCAGCAUUGAAGGAACUCAUCACUUAAGUUCGACACCCCAGUGUCAAAAAGUCCCGAAUUUAGAGUUCAUCAAAAUUUUGACUUUUUGCGUAAAACCAAGUUUCAGUUUUUGCCGAUACAUUCAACACAUGUUGUGUCAUGCAUCAUUGGACUUCUCAUUGGAUUGCCUUUUGAUUUUGAUGCGUAAUUUGUGAACAUUCAGUCAGUGUGACUCUCAUCUGACCUCUGAACCUUAUUGUGACCUUUAACCAAAGUUUUAAGUCAUUAAUUUGCUUAAAAGUUCAACCUGGUAACUUAUUUAUGUUAUGGCAAUUAAUCGUGUGAUAAUUUGGGUCAAUGAAUUUGGGUCAAAGGUCAGAUAAGGGUCACACAAAGUAAAGGUCCUCAAGGCAUCGACAGAAAGAAAAGUGAUUCGGCUUUCUAAUGAUGUAUAUACAUGUCUGUUGCAUGUUAUGCUGAAAAAUUGAAAUAUUUCAAUAAUUAUCAGCCCCAAAGGUUCAACAUUUUGGUGCUUUGGGAAACUUUCUGACACAGGGGUUGAUUUUGCCUGUGGUGAGUUCCUUAUGCAACAUCAGCACUAGAAUGUCCUUUUUUCAUCAAAAUUGAUGACUCGGAAAAAAUGUGUACAUAUUUUAAGAUGAAAUGACCAUAUUUAUAAACUAUAUUAUUAUUUAUGUGUGUGUGUAUUCCUUGAUAAUGCCUGAGCCAAGUUACUUAUGGUCUCUAUAUAGCACUCUUAUGUUGAUACUGGUGUACUACAGGCAUUCAGGCUGAGGUUGAGCAUUUAUUGAUGUUUUCAUCUAAAAAAUGUGUUAUUUUGUAACCUGGUCUUGUUACCUAAAAUAUUGUCAUCUUAACUCACCAAUGUACUCUUUUGCUUUUCGAAGUUUGUCAACUGCCUGAAUAUAUCCAAAUACUAUUGGAAACUGAAGUUUUCCAGCCGUGCACAAAACAGCAAUAGGCCAUCUAUAAACAAAUCCAAGCACGUGGUCCAUGUACACACAUGAGGCCCCCUUCAAUGGCCAAAGCAUUGUGCAAGCUAUUGUGAAAAGCAACUGCCCCGUGACGGAUUCUCUGAACAAUAGCCGGCAAAUGCUGUCGCCAUUGAAGGGGGCCUUCGUGAUAGAAUUGACAGCAUGCCCAGAUUGGUCUGUGGGUGAAGCUGAGAUUUGCCACUGGCUGGCUAAGCCCACAAUACAUGUACUCCAACAUAUUUCAAAGUGCCUAAAAUACCGAACAUUGAAAUAAUACAAGAGCCCUCAAACACAAUUGAUGUGUACAGUUCAUAAUUUAAUAUUUGCUAGAAAUGGUGUUUAAUAUUAAUUUGGUUAAUACACAAUUGUCUACCUUUAUGAAGUUAUGGUUCACAACUUCAACUUUCAAUACAUAUAUGAUCUACCUCUGUUGAAUAAUAGAACAGACAGUCUGCGGCAAAAAGGAACUUGAAUUAACUACUUAACAUUUAAUCAGGCAUGUUGGCAAAAAUCCUUAACAACAUGGCAGCAAAGUUGACAUAUAAUAUACCCUUGUUACUGUUUUUGUAUUGUAAGAUCAACUGUGUAAGAUAAUUAGUAUGUCCAACAUUCACUAUUCAGGAUUUGUGGAAUAAAAUAUUUGAGAAUAUUAAACUUAAA
Molecule: long non-coding RNA, 2981 nt
Filed under: Patiria miniata (bat star)
Lineage: Eukaryota; Metazoa; Echinodermata; Asteroidea; Valvatida; Asterinidae
Description: uncharacterized LOC119742080
Source: RNAcentral